This 402-nucleotide long non-coding RNA is filed under the name Spirodela polyrhiza (greater duckweed). RNAcentral's name for it is "long non-coding RNA (SPOL_LNC001519)". The record is from RNAcentral. Lineage: Eukaryota; Viridiplantae; Streptophyta; Magnoliopsida; Alismatales; Araceae.
UUCCAACUUGACAUGCUUCUGGAGCCCCUGGUGCUGCCUUCUUCCCUUCAUUCAUCUUUUUCGUUCUUCCCACUGGUUGUCAAGCUCCAACCCUUGCCGCUGCUACAAGAGGGCAUCACGGGCGAUGCAGAUCCGGGACAGAGAAAGGUAGGAGCUGAAAAACAAAAUGACGCGGAGCAGGGAAAGCCCUUUGGAAUCGGCUUGGAAAGAGAUGUGGAGUGUGGGAUACGUGAACGCCAGCGUUGUCUUGCCAAGUUGCAACCGCGCAAUUUGCUUGAAAUGCCGACCGGAGAGACGGGUAUGAUGCUAUCCCCUAUUUCGUGGUGAUGCCCUGUCUGUCUGUCUCCCAUGUAUGCUGGUUCAGUGCCCUUCGUAUGUAUUGUGUGAAGCAGGCGGGCAGGC